This 266-nucleotide long non-coding RNA is filed under the name Nicotiana benthamiana. RNAcentral's name for it is "long non-coding RNA (NBEN_LNC032312)". Lineage: Eukaryota; Viridiplantae; Streptophyta; Magnoliopsida; Solanales; Solanaceae. The record is from RNAcentral.
GGAAUACUACUUGCCAACUCGUCCAAGCCCUCCCAAAGGCGCCUCUUAACCUCCUCAUCUUGGCCUGCUUAAGGCGCGUAAGCGCUAAUGACAUUGAGGACGGAUCCACAAAUAACCAACUUAAUAGACAUUAACCUAUCAUUCACUCGCCUAACCUCAACCACGGACUCCCUAAGAUCCAUAUCCACCAAGAUUCUCACUCCAUUCUUACCCCUUACGACCCCAGAAUACCACAACUUAAACCCGUCUAUAUUCCUCGCCUUCGA